Molecule: long non-coding RNA, 147 nt
Organism: Etheostoma cragini (Arkansas darter)
Lineage: Eukaryota; Metazoa; Chordata; Actinopteri; Perciformes; Percidae
Exons: 3
Source: RefSeq, a predicted model, not a curated record
ACUGAUCUCAUGAAAUGGUGUAUGAAUGACACGCCAAUUCGUAUCCCAUUAUUGGCGUGUUAUCAAGACACAUACGCUUUUUAGAGUGUUUAUCAAAGCCGUUUGGCCUCCAUUGACUUACAUUAUCUUGCGUUUGCUGUAUGUGCU